Molecule: non-coding RNA, 25 nt
Filed under: Rattus norvegicus (Norway rat)
Lineage: Eukaryota; Metazoa; Chordata; Mammalia; Rodentia; Muridae
Source: RNAcentral
UAUGUCAGAUGAACAUAAAGGGAGA